Stegastes partitus (bicolor damselfish) is the source of this 414-nucleotide long non-coding RNA. RefSeq lists it as uncharacterized. The transcript has 2 exons. Lineage: Eukaryota; Metazoa; Chordata; Actinopteri; Pomacentridae. The record is from RefSeq and is a predicted model, not a curated record.
GACACGAUAUUGGCAGCCUGAAGAUGUAUUACAUGCAUGUACAUGAUUUUUCAACGGUCAGGUUUUUAUGAAGGGAGGAAUUGGACAGAACAGAGCAGGACCAGAAGUUCCAGUGAGCUGGUAGGCGAGCCACCAACCUUGGAGAUCCUAGACCGGGGGAGAGUGAGAUAGAGCGAUCCAGUCUGGUUUGAAAGCACUCAUCUAUACACUGACUCAUUGGACCUCAUUGAAUGGAUAUACACACACCCUGGGCCCCAACAUUUUCUUUAUUCUUUCAGUAAAGGACAGAAAGAACUUUUUUUUUCUUUUUUUUUCUAGUGUGCACACUUAAGUUGUCUAAUUUUAUUUGUUUUGGGUAUUUGAAAUUCACACUGUGACAUUUCCUAUUUUUUCAAUAUAAUCAUUCAUAUGCCA